This 496-nucleotide ribosomal RNA is filed under the name uncultured bacterium. Its description in RNAcentral is "bacterial SSU rRNA". It matches the Rfam family "Bacterial small subunit ribosomal RNA", at positions 28 to 507 of the family's 1533-position model. The record is from RNAcentral.
GACGAACGCUGGCGGCAUGCCUAACACAUGCAAGUCGAACGGAGAUUAUUUCGGUAAUCUUAGUGGCGAACGGGUGAGUAACGCGUAGGCAACCUGCCCUUUAGUUGGGGACAACAUCCCGAAAGGGGUGCUAAUACCGAAUGUGACAGUUUUUCCGCAUGGGAUUACUGUGAAAGAUGGCCUCUAUUUAUAAGCUAUCGCUAAAGGAUGGGCCUGCGUCUGAUUAGCUAGUUGGUGGGGUAACGGCCUACCAAGGCGACGAUCAGUAGCCGGUCUGAGAGGAUGAACGGCCACAUUGGGACUGAGACACGGCCCAGACUCCUACGGGAGGCAGCAGUGGGGAAUCUUCCGCAAUGGGCGAAAGCCUGACGGAGCAAUGCCGCGUGAGUGAUGAAGGAAUUCGUUCCGUAAAGCUCUUUGUUUAUGAAGAAGGAUAGAGGUAGUAACUGGCCUUUAUUUGACGGUAAUCAACCAGAAAGUCACGGCUAACUACGUG